GGGUCAGUAGGUUGGUCGUGCCACCGGUACGUACUGGUCUCACUGAUUCCUCCUCCCUGAAGAACCGUAAUGCCAUUAAUUUGGUGUUGCGGGGAAACAGGACUGCUACUUUGAAAAAAUUAGAGUGUUUAAAGCAAGCUAACGCUUGAAUACAUUAGCAUGGAAUAAUGAAAUAGGACGAUCGAUCCUAUUUUGUUGGUUUCUAGGAUUGACGUA
Molecule: ribosomal RNA, 216 nt
Filed under: Glomeromycotina sp.
Lineage: Eukaryota; Fungi; Glomeromycota
Description: partial small subunit ribosomal RNA
Rfam family: Eukaryotic small subunit ribosomal RNA (bases 75-216)
Source: RNAcentral